GGGGGCGAGGAGCUGCUGUGAUCCCUCGCCAGUUGUUGUUUGUGUUUGUUUUGCUGUUUGUUUUUUAAAUGAAAUCUGGGUUUCAUUGUACUGUGUUAUUGGAGGGAAGGGGUGGCCCCCCCCCCCCAGCCAUCCAUCUAAAAUCAAUGCUCCCCCCUUUUCAUCCAUCCCCUGCUUUCCCCGGUUGGUCAUAUCGCCUGUACUGGCCACAGCUGGCAAUGGAGCUGUUUGGAUUUGGGGUUUUUUUGUUUUUGUUUUUAUACAAUGAAAGUAAAGGCAUCACAGACUUCACCUCUGCUGCCUCUGUCUUGUUUUCCCCACACCCGCACCUGGACCUUGCUUCUGUAGGCAAGCUGCUCCCUCCCAGAGAUGGGUCUGGGAGCUGUAAUGGCCGUACCUGCAGUUGCCCUGUGCUUCAUGAGGAGUGGUCUUUAUUUAUUUUUAUUUUUUUUAUUUUAUUUUUUUUAAAUACGUGUUCUUCAACUGGAGAAUUUCUGUGAAAGCCACAAAGUGGUGAAUUCCUCUCCGUGAAUAAGGUGCCAAGCUCCUGGCUGUCCUUGCCCCUGACAGAUUGUUGUGGCUCCCAUGAGCUCAGCUGCUUGCUGCUCAUCCUUUUUUCCUUUCUCCUUAAGUAAACAGAAAGCUGCUGUUUUGAAUCCUCCUGGAGGAAAAAGAGACUUGUAAGACCUCAUUUAAUGGAAAAAAGAAGGGGAAAUACGCCCUCUGCUGCCCCAUCUCAGUAGAGGCUGCUUGGGAAGUGAAACAGGCUGCAUCUAUCUGGUGACUUCUUUUACUCCACAGAGAACCUCACUAAUCGUCUGGUUUGCUGCUUGUAGUUUGGGUCAGAUUGCUGCCAUCUAGGAACAUCUAUCUCCUGAAUAACAUGAGCAAUUUUCCAAGCUAACAGAUGAACACAGGGCUCAAACCACUCUCCUGUAGUUGCGAUAUCAGUGUCCAAAACCACAGUCGUUUAAGAGGGCCCUACGGUGCAAGGUCCACUGAAAACCAGUCCCAGCCCCUAAGAGCUUGCUGACACUUGGCAUCGUGGUUGGCAGUGUUCUCAGCACAUCAGUAGCCAAAAGGAUGUACUCUACAAACAUCACAGGAAAGGAUGGACUGGCAAGACAAAGAAGGGGCUCGUACUAAACCUUGGGGGGAGUAUAGAUCCUGAUUUUAAAUCUAAGUGACCAGCGAAGACUGAUAUUGCUGGAGGUAGCAGUUGACCUGAAUGAAAAUUGAUUGGUAUUAAAAGCAAAGACAAGUAGCUUAGGCUUGUGAUAGAAGAGGGAGCCGGUGAAGAGCUGAAAUGAUGAAGUGAUCUAGUCAGAGCAAUUGGUUAGAAGAACUCUUUGUAGCAGCAGGCUGAAUAAUAUUAGCAGGGCAAGAUGAGACCAAAGGAAAAUGUGGCCACCCUGCAAGAUGAUGAGAACCUGGACAAGAGUGAACAUAACUGAAACAACCUGGAUAUGAAGAGCUAGAGUAAGGUCAGAGUCUUAAGAUGUUUUCCAGACUCUGGGGCUGAGUGGUGAUGUUUAGAAAGGAGACGGUGGAACUUGAGGGAAAUUAAGAUGAUUUUAACCAUAAGUGAGUUGACAGCUAGAUAUUUCCAAAGAAAUCUUAGACUACUUGAGACUUCAGUUUGGACACAAUAAUAUUAAAAGCAUCAACAUAGAAAUGGUUUGCAAAAGGUAUAGAACAGUGACUGUCAAAACCAGGGUUCCAUUGCACUCUGGGAUGCCUGGAGGUCCUCUCAAGGAUGUCAUCCAAAGUCCAGCAGUAUAGGGCAUGCAAGCAUGAUAACCCAGAGUUCAAAUAGGAAUCCAUAGUGCUAAAAACCUUCCAACCUGUUGUGAUCUUUCUGAGUUCUUUGCAACAAAAGAAUUGCUGUUAUUUUUUGGUAGUCAAAAAAGGAGUUAAAACUAAGAGCUGGCAUCUUCUAAGACAAUUGAUGACCACUGUUGUAGGAGAAUAGGAAAGAGCAGAGAACCUUGCCCCGUGAGAAAACCAGGAAGAACAAGGAGACCAAUCAUAGUCCAAGAGGAGGAUAGGAUUAUGAGAUGAUUAUGGCCAGUAGCAGUGAGAAGUGGCUUCUUCAAAGAGGAUGAGGCUGCAUUUCUGGUUCUGAGGGCAGAUGUUUGGGUGUGAUUUCAGUUAAGUUAAUGAUAGUCUGGAGUUUCUGUCCUUCAACUUCCCCUUCCUGUGACUGUAAGUAGAGUUUGAUGAACUUGGCAUGAGGGGGGACAGAGAGAUGGGGACCCCACCUAGAGUGCCAAGUAAGGUCCAGAGGGUGUGUAUGUUUUCAUUUUAUGUUUCAGACUAAACUGUAUUUAUAUUUGAGGGGGAAGGAGCUGGAGAAAAGGAAGGGAGGUAGGAUGGGGCUGGGAAAGGGCAGAAUUUUAUGCAGCUGCAGGGCAGGAAAGAGGAGGCGAAUUGCAUCUUCACUCUUGCACUACAUUCCAAGAAGUGAGACAGUCCAAAAAUUGUUAGGCAAGAAUUUCUUAAGAUGGUAUCUUUUAUUGGGCCAAUUAUGUAGUUGGGAUAGACAAGAUCUUGAAUUAGAGAGAGAGUUCUUAAACUAAAAGACAUGACCAUGAAACAGACUCAAAGGUACUGCCAAAUAUGUGAUGCCAGCCAUCUAACCUAAGAGUGAGACCUAACAAAGAGCGUCUUGCAUUUAAAAGCUUGUCUAACUAUGCCAACUACAAAACUGGUCCAAUAAAAAUAUCAUCCUAAGAAAUCCUUGCCUCUCUCCCUCAAAAGAAAUUCAUGAGAGGAUGCUUAAGUGAGUCAAAGGACAGCUACUAAACUUAAUCUGGAGAAACAAGGUGGCUCAGCUAGGAUGAUGGCAGAGCUUGAAAGUCAAGAAAACGAAUUUGUAAAUGAGUGAAGAAUUGCCUUUUUUGUCUAUAACGUUCGGAAGGCACUGUUGGACUUCAAUGCAAGUGCCUCUUCAAAUCCAACUUUACUUGUUAUCUCCCUUCUUCGUAAUGGAUGCUGGUUGAUGAACGCUUCCACUACAGACUUUCUCGACCUACCAUAUUCACUGCACUUCUGUGUGGGAUUUUGCAGUUCUUUUUUUAACACACACUUUCCACCCACCUUCCCUGUGCCACUUACAUUGGUUUAAUGGAGCUAACAUUCAAGUAUAUGUGCAACUUCAGCUGUAUUUCUUGCUCCUGUAAGCAGAGGGAGGUACCCGUUAAAGACUGAAGUGCUGAUUUAUGAGAAAAAUGCUUUUGGAAUAUAAGGACUACUGUAGCAGCACCCAGCUUACCCACAGUAAGUGUACUGAAACACUAGCAGGAUUUUACACAGAAACACACAAGACUUUUAAAUUGGAAUUGGCGUGAGGUUUUAGCUCAGUGUCUCCGUGCACAGAGGUUUUGCUUGUAUCCGCUAUGUUCAAUGCUAGAAUCCAAGUUCUUCCCUAGACAACAUUUGCCAAGAGGAACAUAACAGGUUACCAAUCUUGGUUUUUAAUUUCAGGAGGAGGGAGAAACCAGACCAUGCACUUGUGCUCUUGGUUCCAUGUUUUAGAUGCACAGAGGACAACCUGUAGCAGAAGUGACGGUCUGUCCUUCAAAGUCAUGCCCUGGUAUCAGUAGGACAAGCAACAAUGUUAGCUUUUCUGGGAUCUUUCCAGCACUGAAAUGACCUGGUUUGUUACAGCACCACUUCCUCCCUUCCACUUCAAAACUGUGUGCUUACAACUUCCUUUCAUUGUAUCUUGAUACUUACUCCUACACUGCAAGGCCUACCUGCUUAAAGUAGCCACCAAUUAUACUAGUGCUAUGCUUGCAGCAGUAAUUAAAGGACUGACAGGUAAAUUCGGUGCUUUCUAAUCAAGCCAACUGCUGAACAAUAUCAGCAAGAGAUACAGAAAGGGUGAAGGUUUGUGAUUUAUUAGACCUUAUCUUUUAUGAAGCAUCCAUCUGACUUUUAUUCUGCUAAGUUUCCCUCAGAAAAACAGCAGUAGUGAAUCUGUUACUGAGCACUUAUAUUUUAAUUUUUGUAUUUUGUUUAAUUAAGAUGUAUUCCUCCACUCCCAUGUGGGCUACUUGAACAGCAUUUUCCAUCUACCAGCAAAUCUGGGUAAUAAUUUUGUGUUAAUAAACUCUUCCCUGGAAA
Alligator sinensis (Chinese alligator) is the source of this 4128-nucleotide long non-coding RNA. RefSeq lists it as uncharacterized. The transcript has 2 exons. NCBI's taxonomy places the organism in Eukaryota, Metazoa, Chordata, Crocodylia, Alligatoridae. The record is from RefSeq and is a predicted model, not a curated record.